UACAUGAGUAGCUAGCAUUAAUCGUCUUUAUUGAGCGUACAGAGUGAGAGGGCUGUUAUAUCAAUUAAUAACUAUUUUUAUUUAAAAAAUUAUUAAUAAAAAGAACUAGUGAUUUUUUUUUAUGUAAGCUGAGCUUGUACACUAGUGAUGAAAUACAGGAAGUCUACAGGAAUGUUCAUUGCUAAAGCAGCUGCCAAAAAAAAAAUGACGCUUAUUCACGAAAGUGUAGGUAAUGAAAAGGCACUUAAACCCUAGUAAUCUACACCGUAAAAGAUGAGUAUUGAUUAAUAAGUUAACGCAAAAAUACUCCGCUUGGGUAGUAAAGUCGCAAGGCAGAAACUUAACAGAAUUGGCGGGGGUUUGUACAAACGGUGGAGCAUGUGGUUUAAUGCGAUAAUCCACGUAAAAUCUUACCAGCGUUAAAUUUUUUUUUAUAAUUAAAUGUAAUAGUUUAAGUUUUAAAAAAAAGAACGGUAUUGCAUGGCUGUCGUCAGUUCGUGUUGUGAAGUUUAAAAUUCAGUUUUAUAAACGAACGCAACCCUUAUCCUGUGUUUAGGUUAAAUGUAUUAGGAGACCCCUAAUAUAUUUUAAAUACAAGGCUGAAGUCAAGUCCUUACGGUCUGUGUAUGCUGGGCUACACACGUGCUACAAUGAUAAAAACAAUAGAAAAACAAAGUUCAACCUUUAGUUUUUAAAAAAUUAUCAAAGUACAGAUUGUUUUCUGAAACUUGGAAGCAUGAAGCAGAAAUCGUUAGUAAUCGUAAAUUAUUAUGCUACGGUGAAAUAAAAGUCAAACCCUGCACACACUGCCCAUCACGCUCAAAGAGUUUUGAGUAUGGAAGUCAGAUCUUAUUUUGGAUUUUUUUUUUUUUAAAAAAUGGCAAAAUACACUUAUGUGUAUAUCUUGUGCUUGCUAAGUAUUUAUUACUUAAAGAGACUAUAAACAAGAGAGACGACAAAACCACUUGAAAUGAUCGGAGUGAAGUUG
Molecule: ribosomal RNA, 988 nt
Filed under: Paramecium caudatum
Lineage: Eukaryota; Ciliophora; Oligohymenophorea; Peniculida; Parameciidae
Description: partial small subunit ribosomal RNA
Rfam family: Bacterial small subunit ribosomal RNA (bases 1-851)
Source: RNAcentral